RNAcentral lists this long non-coding RNA (1357 nucleotides) under Ananas comosus (pineapple). RNAcentral describes it as "long non-coding RNA (ACOM_LNC007895)". The record is from RNAcentral. Lineage: Eukaryota; Viridiplantae; Streptophyta; Magnoliopsida; Poales; Bromeliaceae.
CGGGAUUAGUCGAAAUACCAGUGAAUGGAACAUGAAUCUCUGUUAUAUACAGAGUUCACUUUAUUAUUGAUUAGAUUUUUUUUUUUUUUGGGUUCAAAAAACGAAACAAUCUAUUCCGUUACCAGAUUAUGUCUUAUUUAUUACUUCCCAAUUGCAUAGGUUCAUAUCAUUCAUAGCAUGUAAGAUGCUAAUAAAAUACAAUGACAUAUAGUUUUCAAAUAAUUAGAACCCAAUCCUGGAGUUACACUGCUAAUUCAAAUUGCAUGUGCAUGCUGAUCAGGAACAGUAGCAGUAAGAGUUAAGAACAUAAUGCGUCUACAGAAGAAUCCAUAUGAAUAUCUACGCCCACAUCUGAAUCACUUUCUCUUGUGCUUAAUUAUCCAUGAACUGGGUUUCUCUGUUAGCAGAAAAAUAAGCAAAUGAGGUUACACAAAUAAAGAAGGAAAAAUGGAAAAGUUUUGAGCAGAGUGUAAAUCUUACAUCUCUACCGGCGUCUCUCUUUCGCCAAUUUGCCAAAUUGGGCCCUGUAGCGAGCACAUCAAGUUAGAAUACAACAUGCUAAAUUUUUAGCUCUAAGGUAUAAAUAAGGGCCUCUGCAAUCUUAUUUAGAUUCUGCAAAACGAGUAAAACUAUUCAAAAAAGUAUUAACAAUUCUUUUACUUAAAUCCAUCGACAGCGUAAGCGAAAGCUGUUUUCAGGAUCUUAUUUCAGCCUUUUGUGACAAUAAAAACUCUAUGUUAUUGCUUUUUCCCAAGUAUGCGACAAUUGCUUCAUAGUGUUAAAAAAAAAAAAAACAUUCCGGCACGGAGAAAAUGAAGUAAUACCUCUAUAAGGUAAUCCCGGAGGCGGUAAGGAGUGUGUUUCUGGCCCUUGGUAGUCGAUCUCGUAGAUCUCCGGCACUGCAGUAUCUUGAACAGAAGCUGUCGCAUAUCAAUUAACUUAAAAUCAGCUAAUAUCCUUCUAAUCAUUAAUUGCUCGUGCAAAUCAUUUUACCACCAAAUGGAAACCACAAAGAGUUGUAAGAAAACGAAUACAACAAAUAACAUACUGCUGAGAUCAAACCUGUAAGUUUUUUAUUUUUCUGACAAAACAAACCUGAAUAUACAGUUGACAGAGUCACUGCAAGAACCAAAAGGAUAAGAACAUAAACUCGAGAUCUUCGCGCCAUUUUCCACUACUCUCGACUUCGUAAUCGCCACGAGAGGAGGAAUCAAAUGAAUUAAGCCAUCACCAUUAUUAAGAGAGCAAGGUAUAGCUAGCAUAUGAGGCUGGUGAUGGUGAUGCACCAUUAAAUUAUGAUGCACCUGCACCACUAAUUAGCUAGAUGCUACAGUGGGGCCUGGUUUUACCGUAGGAU